RNAcentral lists this ribosomal RNA (423 nucleotides) under uncultured bacterium. RNAcentral's name for it is "partial 16S ribosomal RNA". It matches the Rfam family "Bacterial small subunit ribosomal RNA", at positions 361 to 776 of the family's 1533-position model. The record is from RNAcentral.
AUUUUGGACAAUGGGGGAAACCCUGAUCCAGCCAUCCCGCGUGUAUAAUGAAGGCCUUCGGGUUGUAAAGUACUUUUUGCAGAGAAGAAAAGGUAUCUCCUAAUACUAGAUAACGCUGACGUUAUCUGCAGAAUAAGCACUGGCUAACUAUGAGCCAGCAGCCGCGGUAAUACGUAGGGUGCAAGCGUUAAUCGGAAUUUAUGGGCGUAAAGCGAGUGUAGGCGGGUCGGAAAGAAAGAUGUGAAAUCCCAGGGCUCAACCUUGGAACUGCAUUUUUAACUGCCGAGCUAGAGUAUGUCAGAGGGGGGUAGAAUUCCACGUGUAGCAGUGAAAUGCGUAGAUAUGUGGAGGAAUACCGAUGGCGAAGGCAGCCCCCUGGGAUAAUACUGACGCUCAGACACGAAAGCGUGGGGAGCAAACAGG